UUAAGCUGCAGCAAUGACGGCAGGCCGUGGGAGCAUCGUGUCACCCACGUCAAAGGGGAGAAAAGAUGCCACUUUCUGUUUGGCAGCUUUGUUCCCAAGCUCUUCAGCCAUUUCAAUCUGACCCUGAGUCUGACAGUGAAGCAGCUGUGUUAGACCCUGAACUUGGUCCUACUGUGGAGGACGAAGUGAUAUGCAACCCCCUGACAGAACCGGGCAGAGACCAGAGGAACCUGCUGAAUUCGGCUGAUGGCCCUCAAUACGGGUCUAUAGAAAGAAUGGAAGAAAGGAGAACUUUCAAAAAAGAAUUUCCACCUUCCGCCCCCAUUCACCCCCUUGGAGGCAGGGGAGAGAACGAGACUCAGCACUUCAUAUACUACAUGGUCCCGUCCUUGGCCAAUUAUGGAAGCUGUUGGCUGCUUUAUAUCCAUUACAAGCCUGGGCCAGCCCCUAUAUCUGGGGAGUGAAAAUCAGUAAGGAAUGGACUUCUACUCUCAAUUCAACUCAUUACACUCUGGAGACAACUCCGAAGAAAGCAAAAAUCUGGAAACCAACGUUUUAGCAGUGAUGGCGAUUCAACUUCAUCAACUCGAUUCAACUUCAUCAACUCGCUGCUAAGAAAAAAGGGGGAGAUGUUGAGGGUUAGGGUCGAGACAUGAGAACCCCAGGAGUGGGACAGGACUUUGCCAAAGAGCAACCUGUGGACGUAUUAGUUCGCCGAGCAAAAGCUGCUCAACCUUGAGGGGGACAUUCCACUGAUCGGAGAUGUCUGCAAAUGGACCCCGCCCUGAAGCCUGAGUGCUUACAGCCUGGAUGUCUGCUAACAGACUGGGCUGGGCUUGUAAUCCAAAGGCUGAGAGAAUGAUCAAGGAUGUCAGCCCAGCAGAUAAGAGCCGUUUGCUAUUUUAAGCCUGAGGCAAUGUUCCUAUCUCUCUCCUGACUUCCUGUCUCAGUAAAUGAGGAACUAGAUAAAGUAGAAAAGUACUUGGUCUCUUUAUUCCCGUUUAGAUUAUAUGCUUUACUGCUGACUCACGAUUUUAUUUUUAACUUGUGUAUGCUUAGCUAGUUUAUUGUUACUUUGGGAGACCUUGAAACUUAAACUUAUGAUAUGUACAUGUAAAUUGGUGACUGAUAAUUGUUUGCUGAAAGAAUAAAUACUGAUGUGAGACUCCGCUUGUGGGCUCCUGGCUCACGGGAAUGCUGG
Long non-coding RNA from Lemur catta (Ring-tailed lemur), 1201 nucleotides. RefSeq lists it as uncharacterized. The record is from RefSeq and is a predicted model, not a curated record. The transcript has 3 exons. NCBI's taxonomy places the organism in Eukaryota, Metazoa, Chordata, Mammalia, Primates, Lemuridae.